AUUGAACGCUGGCGGCAUGCUUUACACAUGCAAGUCGAACGGCAGCGCGGGCUUCGGCCUGGCGGCGAGUGGCGAACGGGUGAGUAAUGCAUCGGAACGUGCCCAGUAGUGGGGGAUAGCCCGGCGAAAGCCGGAUUAAUACCGCAUACGACCUGAGGGUGAAAGCGGGGGACCGAAAGGCCUCGCGCUAUUGGAGCGGCCGAUGUCGGAUUAGCUAGUUGGUGGGGUAAAGGCUUACCAAGGCGACGAUCCGUAGCUGGUCUGAGAGGACGACCAGCCACACUGGGACUGAGACACGGCCCAGACUCCUACGGGAGGCAGCAGUGGGGAAUUUUGGACAAAGGGGGCGACCCUGAUCCAGCCAUGCCGCGUGCGGGAAGAAGGCCUUCGGGUUGUAAACCGCUUUUGUUCGGGAAGAAAUCCUCUGGGCUAAUACCCCGGGGGGAUGACGGUACCGGAAGAAUAAGCACCGGCUAACUACGUG
Molecule: ribosomal RNA, 484 nt
Filed under: uncultured bacterium
Lineage: Bacteria
Description: partial 16S ribosomal RNA
Rfam family: Bacterial small subunit ribosomal RNA
Source: RNAcentral